GUCGAUGUCGGAGUUGCGGCAGGUGAAGGUGGUGUUGGCGAGCUGGGGGCAGGAGAUUGUGUUGGUGCAAUGGGUGCAGGAGGAGUAGCAGGCAUUUCUGGAGGUGAUGACUCAGGUGCAGUUGCUGGGGUUGGUGGGCUUGAUCCUGGACUCAUUGUCGGGACCAGUGUUGGUGGGCUUGCUGUUGGGGUAGCUGAGUAAGGAGGAGACGCUGUUGGUUGGGGUGGCAAUGGAGUGGCGGCAGGGGGAGGUGUCACUGGGGAGGAAGGCGGGGUUGCGGAACUUGUAGGUGGCAUAGCAGUAGUUGUCGGAGGCAUUGUAGAGGCAGUUGGUGGAGAUGAUAUUGGGCCUUGAGCAAUGGAGGAGGAAGCUAUGAGACCCAAAAAGAGGGUUGUCAUGAGCAUGGCACGUGAGAGAGCCAUAUCUGUGUAUAGCUACUGAAGUGGUGCUCAAGAGGAAAAUUGGAAGAGAGGGAUGAUUUGUGGAGGCAGUUUGAGAGGAAAGACUACUGAGGUUAAUGAUAUAUAGGAAGAAGCUGAGGAAAGUUUGGAGAAUCGUACCGAUACAUGUAUGCUAACCUCCGAGUGCAUGGACAUUUCGUACUACUGAACUGUAA
Molecule: long non-coding RNA, 616 nt
Filed under: Manihot esculenta (cassava)
Lineage: Eukaryota; Viridiplantae; Streptophyta; Magnoliopsida; Malpighiales; Euphorbiaceae
Description: long non-coding RNA (MESC_LNC000780)
Source: RNAcentral